Molecule: non-coding RNA, 26 nt
Filed under: Mus musculus (house mouse)
Lineage: Eukaryota; Metazoa; Chordata; Mammalia; Rodentia; Muridae
Source: RNAcentral
UGCAAAAUGUUUGUGUCUGCUUGAAC